UACGGAGGGAGCUAGCGUUGUUCGGAAUUAUUGGGCGUAAAGAGCUCGUAGGCGGUCUGUCGCGUCUGCUGUGAAAACCCGAGGCUCAACCUCGGGCCUGCAGUGGGUACGGGCAGACUAGAGUGCGGUAGGGGAGAAUGGAAUUCCUGGUGUAGCGGUGGAAUGCGCAGAUAUCGGGAGGAACACCGAUGGCGAAGGCAGCUCGCUGGGACGGUACUGACGCUGAGGCGCGAAAGCGUGGGGAGCAAACAGG
Molecule: ribosomal RNA, 253 nt
Filed under: uncultured bacterium
Lineage: Bacteria
Description: partial 16S ribosomal RNA
Rfam family: Bacterial small subunit ribosomal RNA
Source: RNAcentral